GGUUCAGGACGAACGCUGGCGGCGUGCCUAAUACAUGCAAGUCGAACGGUCUUUCUAUGGAAGCUUGCUCCACUGAGAAGAUAGUGGCGAACGGGUGAGUAACACGUGGGUAACCUGCCCAUAAGAGGGGGAUAACAUCCGGAAACGGGUGCUAAUACCGCAUAGUUUCUUGAUCGCAUGAUUGAGAAAGGAAGGACGACCUUUGUGCUGUCGCUUAUGGAUGGACCCGCGGCGUAUUAGUUAGUUGGUGAGGUAACGGCUCACCAAGACGAUGAUACGUAGCCGACCUGAGAGGGUGAUCGGCCACAUUGGGACUGAGACACGGCCCAAACUCCUACGGGAGGCAGCAGUAGGGAAUCUUCCGCAAUGGACGAAAGUCUGACGGAGCAACGCCGCGUGAGUGAAGAAAAGGGUUUUCGGAUCGUAAAACUCUGUUGUCAGAGAAGAACAAGUUGGAGAGUAACUGCUCCAGCCUUGACGGUAUCUGACCAGAAAGCCACGGCUAACUACGUGCCAGCCGCCGC
This 524-nucleotide ribosomal RNA is filed under the name uncultured bacterium. RNAcentral describes it as "bacterial SSU rRNA". It matches the Rfam family "Bacterial small subunit ribosomal RNA", at positions 21 to 518 of the family's 1533-position model. The record is from RNAcentral.